CCGAGUUUACAACUCCCAAACCCAAUGUGAACGUUACCAAACUGUUGCCUCGGCGGGAUCUCUGCCCCGGGUGCGUCGCAGCCCCGGACCAAGGCGCCCGCCGGAGGACCAACCAAAACUCUUAUUGUAUACCCCCUCGCGGGUUUUUUUUAUAAUCUGAGCCUUCUCGGCGCCUCUCGUAGGCGUUUCGAAAAUGAAUCAAAACUUUCAACAACGGAUCUCUUGGUUCUGGCAUCGAUGAAGAACGCAGCGAAAUGCGAUAAGUAAUGUGAAUUGCAGAAUUCAGUGAAUCAUCGAAUCUUUGAACGCACAUUGCGCCCGCCAGUAUUCUGGCGGGCAUGCCUGUCCGAGCGUCAUUUCAACCCUCGAACCCCUCCGGGGGGUCGGCGUUGGGGAUCGGCCCUCCCUUAGCGGGUGGCCGUCUCCGAAAUACAGUGGCGGUCUCGCCGCAGCCUCUCCUGCGCAGUAGUUUGCACACUCGCAUCGGGAGCGCGGCGCGUCCACAGCCGUUAAACACCCAACUUCUGAAAUGUUGACCUCGGAUCAGGUAGGAAUACCCGCUGAACUUAAGCAUAUCAAUAAGCGGAGGAAAAGAAACCAACAGGGAUUGCCCCAGUAACGGCGAGUGAAGCGGCAACAGCUCAAAUUUGAAAUCUGGUCCCUAGGGCGAGUUGUAAUUUGUAGAGGAUGCUUUUGGUGAGGUGCUCGAGUUCUCUGGAAACGGGACACAGAGGGUGAGAGCCCGUCUGG
Molecule: ribosomal RNA, 750 nt
Filed under: Trichoderma sp. 24 RG-2015
Lineage: Eukaryota; Fungi; Ascomycota; Sordariomycetes; Hypocreales; Hypocreaceae
Description: eukaryotic LSU rRNA
Rfam family: 5.8S ribosomal RNA (bases 203-356)
Source: RNAcentral